Molecule: non-coding RNA, 30 nt
Filed under: Mus musculus (house mouse)
Lineage: Eukaryota; Metazoa; Chordata; Mammalia; Rodentia; Muridae
Source: RNAcentral
UCACUUAAUAGAUUGCCUGCUGCAAAGUGU